AGGACACCCUCCCUCACUGAGCCUAGGGGACACUGUCUGGGGUCCCGAGGCAGGGUCAGACCAAUCUGGCUCAGAAACGAAGCCCUGGGUCCCGCAGUUCCGCAAAAUUGCCGCUAGGGGUCCCCGUGGGAUCGCAUCGCAGCGCUCAGCUAACACUGCGUGUGCCAGAACAGGAGAACGCGACUCCAGCCCUUUUUGAGCGCCAGACCCGCUGCCCCGCUGGGAUCCAGCCCCUGGGCACCGCGCGUCCUUCCCUUUAAGCUGGUGGCCAUGCUGACGGACUGUCCAGGGCUAAUGCUGGCACCCACACGUCCCCAGAAUUGGCCCCUGGGGCUUGCUCCUGUUAGGCCCCCGGAGGAGCACUGGCCAUCUGAAAGAGACAGAAAGACAUUUUGCACUUCCAAGGUAAUUCUAAGUAAAACGUGGAGAAGCAUCCUGAUUUCCCCAGUUCUCCAGAUCCCAGAAGUGCCUCUUGUGUGCAUAAAGAGACAUCCAGGCUUCCACCAGGGGCAGGAGCUUCCGUGGCACUGCCCACCUGCUCACUUAAAGAUGUAACUCUCUCUGCUUUGCAGUAAACGCUGCCCACACUUCUGCAGGGCCGCCUAUGCAUCUUGACUGCAUUCUUUCCUCACGGGCACAAGGGGCCCAGGUGGUCCUCCAGGGUCUGUUUCUCCUGGUGUCAGGACCCAGCUUCCCAGUGACAGUCAGGAUAUACAGGACCUUAUAGGCUGAGAGCCUGACCCUCCUGUAGAAGUGCCGACAUCUGCUCCCUCCAGCCGUGAGGAGCAGGGUGGGGGGCGGGCAGAGCACACCCGUGCCUCCCCUCUGGGCUCCCUGGGCAGGGUGCACAGCGGAGGCAGGAAUCAUGGUACCUCGACACAGUUUCCAGUGGAAGACACCUGGCAGGACCUUUAGUUCAGCUCCUUUGUCUUGCAAUGGAGAACAUCAAGGCCCCCCUGAGAGGGUCAAGGUCACAGCACACGUGAAGUACAAAGCUAGGACCAGAUCCCAGGCUGGGCCAUUCCCAGAGCAGCCAUUUUCUGUCACACAGUGGGGGAGGGGGUGAGCUGACUUUAUGCUUCGGAGUCUGGCAGUAUCUGUUCCCAGCCAAGCCAAGGCAGACACGUGAGUUCAGACGCUGAGCUCAAGAAGAACUGAGGAGGAAGUGAGUAGAUCCCUACUCUGGGGAUGCGGGGACUGUCCUUCCUGCAGGGACCAUGAUUCCACUCCUCGUUUGGGGCUCCCUCGACUCCUAGAAGAGUUAUGCACAGAGCUUAGGCUGCCUAACAUUUCCUAACUCUCUGGCGACCUUUCCCUAAACAGCCCUGGGGGAGGGAGCCAGCAUCACUGGACAGGCAUAUGGCCUGUGUCAUUUUAAUCAUUUCUCCAACAGUGCAGCGGAGCCAGCAGAGGGCGCCAAAGCAGGAGGAAGAGUUUCAGAUAUUUCCUGCCUUGUUCAGAAACAACGCGGGGGCUUGCGGCUGUGGCUGAAAUUUGGACCUGGGUCUGCCUGUUCUGAGGCUCUUGUUGUCCAAUACCGUGGACUACCACCUAAAAAACUCGAGUUCCAGUUAUAACUCAGCUUGGUGGCUUUGGGCAAAUUCUCAAUUUCCUCAACUAUAAAGUGGAAACUGUACAUCAGUAGUGACCAUCUCACUGAGUCAUCAAAAUUGAAAUGACAAAGUAUAUGACAGUGCAAUGCACAUUGAAGGUUCCCCCUUAAAGCAAAAAGGCUCAUUUUCCAGUGGAAAGUUUGGGGCUGUCAACGCAAUACUUAGUGGGCUGUAAUUCAUCUUCUCUGUUCCUUGUACCUGUUUAAUCUUACCCACACCACCAGCUUGUUCUUGCCAUCUUUUGCUUUAUUUUUGCCUUUUAUAUCUUUGUGCACUACUUUAUUUUCAUUUAUUUUUCUGGUGUGUUUGAAUGUUUUGCCUCCUUAAUAUUGUGCUGAAAACCCAAAAUUCGGUGGCUUAAUUUUCUUAUGGACAGUUGGUCAUCUGAAAGGAAGGACCCAGUGGAAUUACCUCCCACCUGUGUGGUUCAGGCCAACUACGAUGUUUGUUGACCUGUCUUCAGGGGCCAUGCUGUUCCAGCAACUGCAGUAAUCAAGACUAUUCCAAACACAAGUUACAGAAUCGAAGAGGUUAGUGGCCCAUGAAGUGGAAAGACCAUGGAGAAGGCCUUCAGGGGUGGCAUCUGUGAAUGCAAGAAAUGUUCUACCUGAAUGGGUCCCCUUCUGCUCUGCCCUCCUCCAUGUUGGCUCCAUCCCUGGGCAAACUUCUCCAGUUGGUGGGAGAUGGAUAUGAUGCACACCUGAUCUUCACAGAGAAGGAGGGAGGGGACAUCUUUUCCAGCUGGGACUGUGAGAGACAGGGUUCUAGGAUGGCCUCCAAGAUUUCCCUACCUUAGUUCAUAUGCCCUGUGGGGUCCCUCUGGCUGUGGGAGGGACUGUAAAGAGGAUAGCUAGCACAUUCUGCCGUAGUGAAUGGCAGAGGGGCAGAUUAGCCUGGGUGGACCUGGCCUAAUCAGGCAACCCCUUUCCAAGCAGUUCUCUCCAGCUAGUUUCAGGAGUGUAAGGCAGAGAGAUGCACUGUGAUUGGCUCAAGAGAAAGCAAACAACCGUGUCAUGAAUUGCUGAGGGGGUCAUGUUGCAAGGUGUCCUCUGGGAUCAGAGUCC
Molecule: long non-coding RNA, 2677 nt
Organism: Chinchilla lanigera (long-tailed chinchilla)
Lineage: Eukaryota; Metazoa; Chordata; Mammalia; Rodentia; Chinchillidae
Source: Ensembl